CGGGUGAGUAACACGUGAGUAACCUGCCCUUAACUCUGGGAUAAGCCUGGGAAACUGGGUCUAAUACCGGAUAUGACUCCUCAUCGCAUGGUGGGGGGUGGAAAGCUUUUUGUGGUUUUGGAUGGACUCCCGGCCUAUCAGCUUGUUGGUGAGGUAAUGGCUUACCAAGGCGACGACGGGUAGCCGGCCUGAGAGGGUGACCGGCCACACUGGGACUGAAACACGGCCCAGACUCCUACGGGAGGCAGCAGUGGGGAAUAUUGCACAAUGGGCGGAAGCCUGAUGCAGCGACGCCGCGUGAGGGAUGACGGCCUUCGGGUUGUAAACCUCUUUCAGUAGGGAAGAAGCGAAAGUGACGGUACCUGCAGAAGAAGCGCCGGCUAACUACGUGCCAGCAGCCGCGGUAAUACGUAGGGCGCAAGCGUUAUCCGGAAUUAUUGGGCGUAAAGAGCUCGUAGGCGGUUUGUCGCGUCUGCCGUGAAAGUCCGGGGCUCAACUCCGGAUCUGCGGUGGGUACGGGCAGACUAAAGUGAUGUAGGGGAGACUGGAAUUCCUGGUGUAGCGGUGAAAU
RNAcentral lists this ribosomal RNA (571 nucleotides) under Arthrobacter sp. PE-RO9-3. Its description in RNAcentral is "bacterial SSU rRNA". It matches the Rfam family "Bacterial small subunit ribosomal RNA", at positions 103 to 687 of the family's 1533-position model. Lineage: Bacteria; Bacillati; Actinomycetota; Actinomycetes; Micrococcales; Micrococcaceae. The record is from RNAcentral.